This 1826-nucleotide long non-coding RNA is filed under the name Phasianus colchicus (ring-necked pheasant). Its description in RNAcentral is "lncRNA (ENSPCLG00000022016.1)". The record is from RNAcentral. Lineage: Eukaryota; Metazoa; Chordata; Aves; Galliformes; Phasianidae.
AUUGAGUUUCAGCUUUGGAACCUCUAGUUAACAUCUUAUUUUUCAAGAUUUUUGUUCUCAUUGCUUAUGUGAAGUAGCAGAACUACACUACCUAGAAAAGUUUGUUUAGCUUUAUCCACAGCAGUAAAAACAGGGUGGCAGCAAUGCCAGCAUUACACACUUUCUUUUCAAAGGCCUCAGUCUUGUCCGAAGAGUAGUACAUUCUCUUUGUCAGGUCAAUAUUUGACCUGUCUGUUAAUCUCGGUGGGAUACCACAGCAGUGGCCAUUAAGAAAGUCAUUUCAGAUGCAAACAUCUGUCUGGUUUACACUAAAAUAGCGCCAGGAAGAGAGAUUCAUUGCACAGAGGCUAAGGACUGAUGUUUUGGGUGGUCAGAACAAUAAUGUGUAAAGCAAUAAUAAUAAUAAUAAUAAAACCUAGCUUUUUUAUUAUUUAAUUCAGCAAACAACAUAUCUGUUAUUUGCAUGGAGAGCUUGACAAAACACAAGUGAUUUCUCCAAACUCCUUACAUUACCUCUGUUUGCAGAAUUACACAUUCAGCAGAAGUGGUGAAAGGCAGCUAAAGAUGUCAAAAACAUUUACAGGCUAACCAGAUCCCAGCUCAGAUAACUCCAUUUCAAGUCAUCUAAAUUCAUCCCCAUUAUCACUUAAGUGAGCAUUACGGCUGUUAGCAAACCCUACACAAAUAUUCAGAUUUUUGUUUUUCCUGUCAUGCUGAAGGUUAUCUCCCCAGUUGCUCUGAAAAAUCAGGUGACAACCAUUUCCCAUGAUGCUCUAAGGGCUGUCAAGCUGUCCAUCAAGCUGUCACCUGACCAAUCGUUCCCAUGGUUCUUUUAGACUUCUAGUAUGAUAAAUUGAAAGGCACUAUUAUCUGCCUGUUGUGAAGAGGAACUGCUUAGGCUUUGAUAAGAUAUCACCAGUCCCAGGUGAGAGGAGGCUGACAGCACAUCAAGACAAGAAAACACAUGGAAACAGUGAACACAGGAGCAAAAGAAGAAGGGAUCUUGAUGAGGAACAGGACUGCAGAGGAGGAUGAGACUUUUCACACAAGAUCAAGGAAAAAAAAUGCUUCAUGUACAGGACAGGAGAGGAAAUGCUGUGCUCUGCAUGUGAGAAGCUGAAAAACAGCAAAGAGAAUGAGCUGGGGAAGUAACUGGUUGCCACCAGGCAAUAGCAAGAUAACUGAGCAAGGCUCAGCCAUGGGGGAUGAUUUGGCACACAGACAGAUGACUUGAGAGAAGUGGAAGACUAUUCCAUGGAGGUAUUCAAAGAUGGACAGAACAAUCUUAAAAGUUAGUUUUGCACAUACAAGAAGAAUUCUGGUCAAUUGCUAAUGGGUUCAGGAAUCUCCACUGCAGGGCCUGCAUGACAAAGAAGGGGAAAAAAAAAAAAAGCAGAAAACAAAUAAGUUCUGGAUUAGGAUAUUGAAUGACAGACAGUUUUGUGGACUUGGAGCUAUCUUUUCCAAUUAUGGUUAGCAUUACUCACUGCAGUAUUUUGGUACUACACACAAUGAUAACUUUAGCACGGAUCCCACAGUAACAGAGCUCUCUAAAAGUCUUUUGCAAUGUAAAAUACUUAAAAUUACUAAGGAUAUACUGGAGUUAUCUUUCAACAGGCGGAUUGUAAAAUACAAUGGCCAAAAGAGUUCUGUAUUUUGCUCUGCUGAUCAUUUGAAGACAGGAAACAAAUGGAAUACACAGCUCUCGAGUCAUUUCUAUUAAUAAGUUAAUUAUAUCUAUAUUAAAGAGUUAUUAGAGGAAAUUAUGCACCCUUUUUUAUUAAUGGUUUGCUCACAGUUUGCAGACUUCCUGAUAUGGAAUUUGC